Molecule: ribosomal RNA, 460 nt
Filed under: uncultured bacterium
Lineage: Bacteria
Description: partial 16S ribosomal RNA
Rfam family: Bacterial small subunit ribosomal RNA
Source: RNAcentral
CCUACGGGUGGCAGCAGUGAGGAAUAUUGGUCAAUGGACGAGAGUCUGAACCAGCCAAGUAGCGUGAAGGAUGACUGCCCUAUGGGUUGUAAACUUCUUUUAUAAAGGAAUAAAACGAGGCACGUGUGCCUUUUUGCAUGUACUUUAUGAAUAAGGAUCGGCUAACUCCGUGCCAGCAGCCGCGGUAAUACGGAGGAUCCGAGCGUUAUCCGGAUUUAUUGGGUUUAAGGGGAGCGUAGAUGGGUUGUUAAGUCAGUUGUGAAAGUUUGCGGCUCAACCGUAAAAUUGCAAUUGAUACUGGCAGUCGUGAGUACAGUUGAGGUAGGCGGAAUUCGUGGUGUAGCGGUGAAAUGCUUAGAUAUCACGAAGAACCCCGAUUGCGAAGGCAGCUUACUAAACUGUGACUGACAUUGAUGCUCGAAAGUGUGGGUAUCAAACAGGAUUAGAUACCCUUGUAGUC